GCAACAAUUUUUUAUCACCCUCUACGAUUCGAGAAUAUUGUUUUUGGUGACCAAUUUGCAGACAUUGUUCGCCACCGAACAAGUGUUCCACAAUGAGACGGCUAAGAUCUAUUCGGAACUUGAGGCAAUUGUUGACAAGUUGGCCACAGAAUCGAGACACGGCUCAAAUACGCUGCGCAAACAAACAAUAAAUCCCAUCAAGACAUCGAGCCCAAC
This is a long non-coding RNA of Drosophila nasuta, 216 nucleotides long. RefSeq lists it as uncharacterized. The transcript is spliced from 3 exons. The record is from RefSeq and is a predicted model, not a curated record. NCBI's taxonomy places the organism in Eukaryota, Metazoa, Arthropoda, Insecta, Diptera, Drosophilidae.